CCAACGGCGUUUUUUAACGUCAUUAAAAUUUCAAUGAAAGAGCAUU
Danio rerio (zebrafish) is the source of this 46-nucleotide non-coding RNA. Lineage: Eukaryota; Metazoa; Chordata; Actinopteri; Cypriniformes; Danionidae. The record is from Rfam.